CCAGACUCCUACGGGAGGCAGCAGUGAGGAAUAUUGGUCAAUGGGCGCGAGCCUGAACCAGCCAAGUCGCGUGAGGGAUGACGGUCCUACGGAUUGUAAACCUCUUUUGCCGGGGAGCAAGCGUGCGUUCGUGAACGCGCGUCGAGAGUACCCGGAGAAAAAGCAUCGGCUAACUCCGUGCCAGCAGCCGCGGUAAUACGGAGGAUGCGAGCGUUAUCCGGAUUUAUUGGGUUUAAAGGGUGCGUAGGCGGGAUGCCAAGUCAGCGGUAAAAAUGCGGUGCUCAACGCCGUCGAGCCGUUGAAACUGGCGUUCUUGAGUGGGCGAGAAGUAUGCGGAAUGCGUGGUGUAGCGGUGAAAUGCAUAGAUAUCACGCAGAACUCCGAUUGCGAAGGCAGCAUACCGGCGCCCUACUGACGCUGAGGCACGAAAGCGUGGGUAUCGAACAGGAUUAGAUACCCCAGUA
RNAcentral lists this ribosomal RNA (464 nucleotides) under uncultured bacterium. RNAcentral's name for it is "bacterial SSU rRNA". It matches the Rfam family "Bacterial small subunit ribosomal RNA", at positions 331 to 792 of the family's 1533-position model. The record is from RNAcentral.